GCCGAUUUGGCUCAGUGGAUAGAGCAUUGGCCUGCGGACUCAAAGGUCCCAGGUUCAAUUCCGGUCAAGGGCA
RNAcentral lists this transfer RNA (73 nucleotides) under Myotis davidii. It matches the Rfam family "tRNA". Rfam says of the family: Transfer RNA (tRNA) molecules are approximately 80 nucleotides in length. Lineage: Eukaryota; Metazoa; Chordata; Mammalia; Chiroptera; Vespertilionidae. The record is from Rfam by way of RNAcentral.